UAGAAAAACAAAUUUCCUUAUCCUUCUCUUCCCCCCUCCCCAAUUCCUCUCCUACCAUAGCUCCAUAACCACGACGCCGUAUCCGCCGUCGCUGCCUCCUAUGAUUUGGGCGAGCUCUAGCGCUCUCCCGCGACAUAGCUCACCAACUCUGCUACCCUUAGUGCUCCCAGCCAAUACUCCACUUCCGCGACGUCCUCAACGCCCCUGCCCGUGCCCCUGCAUCAACCCUAGUCACCAUGGGUUGAGGGCGCAACUCCUGCCCCUCCGGUUGGUCGGCUCACUACCGGCGCAUCUCUGGACGGGCGGUUGCCUCCACAGGCUGGACGACACUGGUCCGCAAUGUCUACCUCGACUCCGGCGCCAAUAGUGAGACACUUCUCCCCUAUGUUCUUAUCCUCUUUGGUGCUUUAUGUGGCAUGGCUACCAAGGGUUUGUCAUCGUGGCAUCAUAGAUGACGGCUGGAUAUACCAAUACCUAUAGCCGCUCUCUCCCAGGGAGGCUGCCAUGGUCGCCUACUGCCUACCUCAUCGCUCACCUGGAUUAUCUCCCUGAAGAAUGUGACAAUUCUAUUAUUUUCACUAAUUUGUUCCCCCGAAUUUAACAACAUUGUGGCUUCUAUAAUUCCAUUGGCAUUUGGUUCCCUAGCUUCUCUAACCUUCCACUUGUGCCAUGGGUGGACCAAUUACUUUAUUAAAUUUAUGGCUAGUGUUCGCUUUUUUUGUUGUUGAAGGAAACCUGAUGCUCUAAUUUUGCUAUGCAGGUUUCUGCUAGUGAUCUUCUGCUGUAGUUGUUCAAACAUAAUCGUGUUUGCAUAUCCAUAUGUACGUAUUUCUCUGUAUGUAUAUCAUACUCUAGAGUGCUAGAUUACACUGCAGAACAAAACAAUUAGUUGUCCACCAGUCUUGUUUAUAUCAAUGCUUGCAUUCUCCGAGGCUUAUCAGAAGAGAAUCUAGUUUUCCAUGGAAACAAGGGUGAUCGUGCAUUAUUUAUUCACUCAUGUUACUAAAGCUUCUGUUGUCAAGGAGGCAGUAAUAUUCCAAGUGCAUGACUACUUCUUAUUCAGUAAUAUUAAGCAUGAUUAUACAAAACUACACAUUAAAAAGGUAUAUGAAUCAUAGUCUAGACAUCUCACACUUGCUAGCAUGCGUAAGUGUGUAUGUAAAUUUGAUCAAUUUGAUGAUUUUGUUUAACUUUAGGUACUUCUAAAUUCUCAUAUGUUUGUAUUUAUUCGCAUAUUAUGAUGAACUGCAAUCUUUUUUAGAUCAGAAGAAUGCAUAACAACAAAAAAUGCUUCACGAGAUGCCACUUCACAUCUUUUUUUCUCACCAGUAUGUGAAUUUUAAGUUUUUACUUAGUGAACUAUAGUCUUGCAGGUUUACACAUAAUAUUAAAGAUAUAAAUCUACAUGAUGUAAUCAGAUUGUGCAUUUGAGUGAGUGCUGCAAGCUGGGAAGGUAAAUAUGACCAGCGAUGAUGGCAGCACGUCAACGACGUCAUGGAGGAUAAUUAACUCUAACAACUGCUCUGUGCCUGUGCCUAUUCAUAUGCUCUGACUUCGGAAGUGCAAACCAAUAAGAAGAGAGAUGAAGAAUAUGCAGUUUAUUAUAGCUGCAAUUGGCCUGAACUAUAUUCAGGAUAUGGAGUUAUGGAUGCCAAGGGAAACUGAUCAUUUUGGUUUUAGUUAAUGAAGGUUGAACAUGUCAGUCUAGAUGCUCAUGUGAUGAGCUUAGUUUUUUGUUUCCUUCAAUGAAGCUUCGAUCUAUUUAUGUGUAGAGUGCACAUGUUCUUGUAAAACACAUGUGUACAAGAUGAUGGUGUAAAGCAACAAUGUGUUCUUUGGAUGGUGUUCUUUGUAAAACAACAUUGUUGAUUUAAUAUAUGAGGUCUUUCUUACUA
This is a non-coding RNA of Triticum urartu, 1895 nucleotides long. NCBI's taxonomy places the organism in Eukaryota, Viridiplantae, Streptophyta, Magnoliopsida, Poales, Poaceae. The record is from RefSeq and is a predicted model, not a curated record.